GUGGGAAGACAGAGUGAGACUAGCAUUAAAGAAUUGGGAAAGCUACGACAUCUACGGGGAGAACUUCAUAUUGGGAACCUUCAAAAUGUGGUGGAUGCACGGGAUGCAGCUGAGGCAAAUUUGAAAGGUAUAAAGCACCUUGAUAAGCUGAGGUUUACAUGGGAUGGUGACACUCAUGACCCGCAACACGUAACAAGCACACUUGAGAAAUUAGAGCCAGAUGGAAAUGUGAAGUAUCUUGAGAUUGAUGGUUAUGGAGGUCUAAGGUUUCCGGAGUGGGUAGGAAAGUCCUCUUUCUCAAGAAUAGUGUCCUUGGAGCUCAGUAGAUGUACAAACUGCACCUCCUUACCACCGCUCGGGCAAUUAGCUUCUUUAGUGCGUCUCUCCAUUGAAGGAUUCGAUAAAGUUGAGACCGUGGACUCUAAGUUCUAUGGGAAUUGUACUGCUAUGAAGAAGCCAUUUAAAUCCCUCAAAACAUUAUCUUUUAGAAGGAUGCCAGAGUGGCGCGAGUGGAUUUCAGACGAAGGCAGCCAGGAAGCCUUCCCUCUUCUUGAGUUUCUUUCAAUCAAAGAAUGCCCCAACCUUACAAAGGCCCUACCUGGUCACAACCUUCCACGUGUAACAGAACUUAGAAUUGAAGGAUGUAGGCAGCUCGCGACUCCACUUCCUAGGUUUCCUAGGUUGCACUCUCUCAAAGUUUUUGGAUCCACCUCCCUAGAGUCCCUACCCGAGGAAAUUGAUCAAAUGGGUUGUUCACCCUCUGAUUUAGGGAUUGAAAUCAGCUUCUGCGCUUCUCUCAAAUGCGUCGCCCUGGACUUGCUCCCCAAGUUAAAAUCUCUUCGUAUCUCUCACUGUCCAGAUCUCGAAUCACUAUGUGCACAUGAAAGACCUCUCAUUGAUCUCAACUCUCUCCAUUCUUUGAUAAUCUGCGGGUGCCUUAAAUUAGUUUCAUUUCCCAAAGGAGGGUUACCUGCUCCAGUCUUGACACAACUUUACUUAUAUGAUUGCAAAAACUUGAAGCAGUUGCCUGAGAGUAUGCCUUCCCUCCUCCCAUCCCUUAACCGUUUGGUAAUACAUGGUUGUUCAGAAGUUGAGUUGUGUCCAGAAGGGGGUUUUCCCUCCACAUUACAAUCACUUGAUAUCUGGAAUUGCAACAAACUCAUUGCUGGCCGCAUGCAAUGGGGCUUGCAAACGCUCCCUUCUCUUUCACACUUUACAAUUGGUGAAGACGAAAAUGUUGAAUCCUUCCCUGAAGAGAUGCUUCUGCCCUCAAGUCUUACAUCUCUUAAAAUCUAUAACCUAAAACACCUGAAAUCUCUUGACUAUAAGGGGCUUCAACACCUCACCUCUCUUAGAGAAUUGACUAUAAGUAACUGCCCUCUGAUUGAGUCAAUGCCAGAAGAAGGGUUGCCCUCCUCCCUUUCUUCUCUUGUAAUUAACGGUUGUCCUAUGCUGGGUGAAAGUUGUGAAAGGGAGAAAGGUAAAGAUUGGCCCUAGAUUUCUCACAUUCCUCAUAUUGAGGUACUUGCCUAAAUAGUUUAUUCUGUUUUCAGUAAUCAAAGGCAAUUUCAGUAAUACAAAUUUGGAUGAAUGAAAUACAGAUAUUGUCCUAGAAAGUUGUAUGUUUUUAUUUGUUGUAUGUUGAAAUACAGAUAUUUUCUUCCUCUUGUAAAUAAUAAUAAUCAUCAUUCUAUUUCAAUAUAUUUUUUGCUAUAAUUAAUGAUACUAUUGUUCCUCCAUCAAAUGCCGGCAAAUAAACAUCACAUGCUUCAGAUUUUGAACUGCCAGCGCCACCCUUAAAAGACAACGGGCCUAGCAGAGCUGAAAAGGACUAAAAAAUAUUUAAGUAAUCUGCAACAGAUUUUUCAUUGUUGAAAAAUUUAAGUUAAUCAAAAUUCUCUCCUUUUCUCUUUCUCUAAUCUAUUCCCCUUCUCCAAAAAUUCAAAAUUUAAGUAAUCAAAAUCAAAAUUCAAGUAAUCAAAAGGAUUGAAAUAAGUAAUUCAGGCAAAUUCAAAAUUUAAGUAAUCAAAAGGAUUAAAAUCUCCAUUCUCUCCUUUUCUCUUUCUCUAAUCUAUUCCCCUUCUCCAAAAAUUCAAAAUCCAAAAACUUUUGAUUUAUCUAUUUUGGAAUAGAUAUAAAAAGAAGAGAUAAUAUAAAAUUCAUCCAGAGAAAGUGGCCAAUGUCACUCAAGAGAAAGGAUUAAAGCACAGACAGUCAUCAGCUUGAGAACUCACAGCAAAGAGUUCAUUGUUUUGCAGUAGAUACGUAGCUAUAUUAACUACACUACUUCCAGCAUGCACAAAUGCGACUUCUUGAUGGUUACGCUGCUAAAGACAUUUACAAAUCCCCAUCAAUACUGGUGUUUAUUCCUCGUGAUGAUCCAGUGAGCUGACAAUAAAAGAAAACCUUGGCAUUACUAGUAAAUCGUCACUGCAAGCAUAAUGCAAGCAUGGAAGAGAUUCAGGUAGGAAUUACCCUUGUCUUCAUUGAGAGGCUUUAACCUCCCUAGCUCCUUCAUCAGCAGGCCCAUUGUUUGAUGCAUCCUCUGAAGCGUCUAAGCAAGGAUUGCUUUUACACUGCCUGACAGGCUGAGCAUUGGUCAAGAGACUAGAAAGUUGAGACCCCCUUUGCGAAAAGUUUGGUUUACCUUUCGGAGUCUCAGACAGGCUUCCCGUUGACAGCUUUGCUAGGCCCAUUGUCUUGUGCUCACACGGGAGCUUAGUUGAAAAAGGUGAUUCAGGUGUAUCAGGAUGCUUCCCAGGAAUAUCCAUCGGUCUAUGAAACAGCAAAUGAGCCACAGUCCGGUCUACGGGAUUGGUCUGUGUUUCCACCUCAGGCAUCUUAACCACCCUGCAGUAUACUCAUAAAAUCCAUGAGGAAAAUGACAGGAAAGUUUGAGAUUGCCAUACUCUAAACAAAUUGAUAAAGACUUGAUUAAUAAUUUUGUGCAAACAAAUUGAAUAAUUUGAAAUGGGAAGGACGAGAUGUAAAGGAACAAACCCAUUGGAACAAGAAACAAUCACAUUGUCGCUUACAACAAAAAAUCGAGUUUCAGAUCAAAAGAGCUUAUGGUUUUGGCUGGAAGUAUCCCAUUUAGACAUAGAUGAGCCGAUUAGAAGAUGAUUUGAGUUCUUAAAUUUUCUUGCUUAAAAUGUAAUGUAACAUGAAUCUGCAGAUGAUCAUUAAAUUUGAAGGGAAAUUUAAUAUUUUUGCCCUGUUUAUCUAAAGUUGUGCAAGUUCUCUGCAUUGAUGAUUUCAGUGAAUUUGUACAGAUCUUGUUUUCCUUCUAUUCGUCCUUGAAUAAACUUAUUGCACUUGUUUAACAUUCUUUGUCUCUCUCUCUUAGUUAAAUCUAGUAAAAUUUAUCAUGUAUGUUGUGCCACUCAUUUAGACUUGGAUGUGUGUGUUUAGCUCUCCUUUUCGGAUUAAGGUGAUUAUGCACAAAUUCACUGGAAUCAACAUUGCAGAAAACUUGCAUAGAUUUUGUUAAUAUUGGAAAAAUUAAAUUUAUUUCUAGAAUGAGAAUGGAAAACAGAAAAUGGUGAUGGCAUUAAAAGAUCCUAAUUUAACAUUUCCAUUGAGCAAAAAUGUUAAAAAAAAAGAGAGAGGAUAGAUUAAAUUUGAAAACAGAAGCAUGAGAAAUGCAUUGCCUUAACCAACCUUCUUUGACUGCUGGUUUUCUCUUUUGCAGCAACUUGUUCGUCCCUGCUACUAUUGUUUGUACUGCCAGUAUCACUAGCAUAAUGCCUUUGCAUUGCACUUUGAGCCAGCCGGAACAAGCUAUCCCGAAUACAAAGUCUAAUUCUGACAUCCAACUGUUGUAAAACAUUGGUUUGGAAUCGUAACCAAGCACAAAUUAUUUAGCAGGGAAUGCAAUAGUACGUGAAGCAUACCUUUGAAAUAAUAUCUUGAAGCCUGUAGAGUACUGUGUCCUCCAUUGAAUAAUCAUUAACCGCCAGAGAGACUGUAUUGGAAUCGUCUUGCUCAAUAGGCGAGUUUGGGUCAAAUGAAGCAAGUGUACUUAGAUCCUCUACUUCAAGGUCAGCUCCUUCAACAUGCUGAAUUUGAUUUUCUUGGGAACACUUUUGAUGAACAAGCUGCUGCUGCUGUUUCUGAAUGGCAAGCAUCGCCUGAAUUUGUUGCCGCCUCCUUAAUUUUUCAAUCUUUUCCUGAGGUGUCAUUCUCUGGGGUUUCACUGGACAGUCAGCUAACUUGUUUAUAGGAUUUGCAUUGCCUGAAGAAACUUCAUAACCAGAAAUUUUAGGUCGAUGAUUAAAUGACUAGAAAUUUUGUUGGAAAGUCAGAAAACUUUAACAGGAUUCACAUUACCUGAAGAAACUUCAUAACCAGAAGCUAAAGGUUGAUGCUUAAAAUCCCCAGACUGAAUGUGGGACAACCCAGGCAUAGAAUAUGGAUUUGUAAUACUCCCGUAUGCAGAAGGGGCCACAAAUGGAAUGGAAAUCUGCUGGUACUGCAACUGCUCGGAACCCUGUAGCUGCUUCUGUUGGCUGAGAAUUGAAGGGGGAGAAGAUUGCAUAAUUUGGGGUGCUAAAUGAUCCUUAAGUUGACAGGCUGGGAUUCCAGAUGAAGUCCAGUUUCCAUAAAAAUCUUGGUAUGAUUUCAGUUCACCUUUUUCUUCCAGUUUUUCCCGACCUUUCAAGAUCUUCUUUUGCCUGUAAGUCUGAUCACAGAACUAUAAACAUAUAAAUAGACAAAUUACUUAGAAUAGAUCAUCGUUUUAACCAUCUAGACCUGCAGGGGAGUGACUAAGGCACAGUUAGUAUUUUAAUUCAGUACAUGGUUUGUAAGGAUAAAUUCAAUGUUAUUUUUUUUUUUUUAACUGUAACUUAUGAUCCAAAGGGCUUCUAUUGUUCAGAAUAUAUUGAGGUAUUAGCUAAUCUAUGCCAAGCAAACAGAAUUUGCAUGUCCAGGAUAACUUAACUGAUGUCUCCUGAAUUUUCACAUGUUAUUCCUUUCUCCUUCCUACAAUGGAUUUACUUCAGGCAAUCGAUAUCAUGGUUAAGUAAUGGAUUUGACAUCCAGGAUAACUUAAUUGAUGCAUUAUUGAAGUCAUGACUAAAUCAUGUAAAUCCAUAUUCACCCAACAUCCAAGUUUAUUCUCAUUCCAAAAAAUAAAACUAAAAAUAAUAGCAAGAAAUAUGAAGAGACGAAGAGGAAUUUAAAUAAUAUAAUUUCUCUUUUCUGUCGCCAUUUUCCAUUCCAGAGAAGUACUCAGGAAGUUUUCACAAGUUCAAGUGUAAGGUAACUUUUACCCUUCCCAGCUCUAAUUAGGUUUCGCUGUCCCUCCAGUCUAAUUUAAGAUCUAACAUGUGGAAACCACACUGUAUUAGUGAAAGGAUUAUAAUAUCAAGAUUUUCCAAUUUCAAUUCACUGAUAUAACUUUUCUUGAAUCCUGGACAAAAGAACUUAGAACAUCAAAAGAUCAUAGCAGGAUUCUAAGAAACAAAGAUUGUAUUUGGUGCUUAUUGAGUCUAAAAGUUAUCCUGGAUGAAAAGGGUAAAAAUCAGUAACAUGUCUGGUUCAGUAUCAAGAUUUUGAAAAUAUCAAAAGGAAGAAAAAAAAAAGGUAACUUAUUCGCUAAUUCAUUUGGAAAAGCACCAUUUUCCUCUGUCAGUUGAGAGUUAGCCGCCGUGUUCUUUCCCACAACAGCCAAAUCUGUCUGCAAAAGCACAAAAAAAAAUUUAAAAAAAAAUGCUAAGCUUCUCUCAGCUCCAGCACUUGAGCAUGGGGCAUUAAUAAGUGAACUCAUUACUGAAAAUUGAGUCGCUAUACCUGCUCCUUCAGUAUAGGCUUGUUUUUACCUUCAUCAUAUUGCACCGCAUCAACUGACCCACAAAUAAAUUUGCAUUUUUCCAUCAGUUCCAAGCUACUUUGUAAGGAAAAGGGAGGGAAGUGCCUUCAAAGAUACCUUCUUCAUAGCUUCUUUAGAUAUGAAUCCACACGACUUUCGUAAUCACCAAUCACUAUGCGCAGCUUCUCUUAUCAUCACAAGUUCCCAAGAAAAAUUAUAUUCUUCCCUCCUCCAGCCCUUUCCCUACAUAUUUCCACCAGCUUCAUAGCAAUGCGGCCCGUGAAAACGACUCCCAAAUUAAAACACUUGAGAAGCUCUAAUAGUUUUCCACAAAGACCUACUUUUCUUAUUAUUUCUUCCUCGUCACAACCACUCACUUUCCCCUAAAUCCCAUACCACAACCACUCCUUAAUCUUCAACUAAAUCGAUAUCUCUUAUCACUUAUGAAAACUCCAUCUAAUUUCCAAAUGAAUCACACCAUUUGAACACUUUGCCAAUUCCUAAUUCCUUCAAAAUUUUCAUCCAUUAAAAAAAAAACUGCAAGUCAUACUUUUUCACUUUAACACAGUUGUCCUUAUAAUCAAUCUUCCAAUAUAACCAUACUCUUGCCUCUAAAUCUGGCACGCAAAGCUUCUACAUAACCUUCCAACGUUACUUCUUGCCUCCCAAACUCCUCAAAGUUCUGGUGCCAAUAUAAUGCUAUUCCAUCAAGGGAGUUUUUCAGAAUCUCCAAUCUUUUCAAGAUCAAAAUGUUGAUUGCAUCUAUACAACCACUUACGGGCAUCUUCCCCAUCAAAGCUGGGAAAGUCACAUAUGGGUUUGUGCAUCCUAAACUGAGAGUGCUCACCUUCACUAGGUAGUCAAGUUAUUGCAACUAAAGAGUUGUUUGUUUGUCUCGGGUAGUAUUAGCCUCCCCUGUGGAAAGUUGUAGUGUUUGAAGAAGGGAUGUUUGUUGAUAAGCUAUUCCACUAAUGAGACCCUUGAGUUCAUUAAACUUAGCUUCAUGGUUGCUUUUUGCGGUCACCAGUUUGUGAUUGUAACUCCAACAUUUUCAUCAUUUGUUCAUAAUCUUAUGCUUGAUCCUUGCUGACAGCUUCAAGGGAGCUCUCCAGCUUUUUGAUGUCUUGAGAUCUAGUGUCAGGAGCCAUAUUCCAAAGCUACAAUGGAGUCUACUAAUCAGAGGAAUCAAUAAACUCGCAGUUGAUGAAUAACAGAAGAAGAGAGAGAAGGACAUAAAUUGGUUAAGCCGAUAUUUUUCAUUCUUCUAUUUUCACGCUGGCAUUCUGUUACCAAUACUAACUGAAAGAGCGGCUAAUAACAACUUCCAUUUAUACCUUCGCAAUGUUUGUUUACCGGAAAUUCAUUCCAAAUUUUUUUAUGUUUGUUUAUUAUUAAAAAAAGUUAAUCAACAAAAAAAUUCUGGUUGUUUAUCGUUAGAAAAUUUCAACAACUUCCAAUUAUCAAGCAAUAGCCAACACGUGCCAGGAGUCUCAGCUAAAUAAUUGAAACACCAAUCUGGCCUUUUGGUGUUGCACGGUGCUGCUGCUUCUUGGCUCUUGAUUUCAUAGAAAUGCUGCUCCCUCAUCCCUGGUGUUACACAGGCAGCUGCUGGCUCCUCUUGUAUCUUUUGGGUUUUGGCUUAGUUUGGUUCCCGCCGUUGUUUGUUCUCCGGUCGUCGAAGCUUGCUGCAAUCAUCCGACUCUGUUCUCAUAGUCAGAUGCUUCCUCGGUUUUCUCCUGGCAUUAAAAUUACAGCUGACCCUCAAAUCUUAUUGCCUCUGGUCAUUUUCUUGAAUGGUGCUUGGUGUUGUCUUCUAGUGUUUGCAGUAUCGUAAUUUGCUGGAGUUUUUGUAGUAUUUGAAUUGUGGGUGAUUGAGCUGCAGAAUUAGAGGGAAUUGAAUCCGUGCUAUGGGUUAUCAUGUGAUAUCAUCAUUCAUCAACAAUUAAUUGAAUGGGUUUCUACAUUAAAUAUUUUUAGUUUCUUAAUCAAUAAUUUGAAGUUUUUAAUUGGACGUGAAAUUAUUCUUAGAGAAUAAUAUAAUUAAACUAAAUCUUGGUUAAUUGAUUGCUAGCAAAGGUGUAAAUUUACAUGGCUUGAAAAUGAAGCUUAUCUUCUACUUAAUUUUAUCAAAUAAUAUAAUUUUGAAAUAAAUUAUUUAUAGAGUAGUUUUGAGUGAUAUAAAUCAAAUAGGAAUUAAAUCAUGUUAAAACAUUUAAUUUUGUUGUCCCUUCAUAUAUUACUAACAGCAACAUUACGUAUCCUAACGCUUUAUAAAUUCCAAACCACUCAUUUGAAACUAACGCUUUGUAUUAUUUUUAUAAAAUAAAAUAAAUCCUAACACUGAUGUGGACUAAAAUGUUUUUCAUAUAAAAUAUGAGGAUAAAAAAACUUUCAUGAACAUUUAUGAAAACCUAUUUUUAUCUAAGUGGGCUAGGAAUCCGUAUGCAUGUAUGAAAAUGAGUUCGGGCUUAGGGUGAUAGAUAUGGGUCAGUAAAAUGAAUUAUAUUUUAAUAAAUUUUAUCUAUAUAUAUUUUCUAAUCCAAGUAAAAUGAAUUAUAUUAUUUGUUUAAAAUAAAGUUAAUCUCAAAUAAAAAUUUUACUUUCUAAAAUAAAAUAUGAAUUAUAUUAUUUUAAAAAUUUGCUUGAGUUACUUUAGGUUUUAUGGCAGCCCAAUAACGAUACUCUUAACAGAAUACUGAGUUAUUGGGCCUAAAAGGCUAAAAGGUCCUGCGUCAGGAUUUAAUUUUCAUGGGUCCUUUGUUAAGAUUUAGGACUAUUGGAUCUUGGGUUUCUAAAUAUAAUAAUUUCUCUAAAAGUAUUAAUAUUAAAUAUAUUAUAAUUUGUGUUCUAAAUAUUAUUAGUUCAAUUGUAAUAAAAAAGAUAAUAUUUAUACUCCAAAUAAUAAUAUUGUUGAUAUUAGAACUUUGAAUUAUAAUAAAAAUCAUAAUAUUCAAAACAUAAAUAAUACUAUUUUUCAUAUUAAUACUUUCAAUUAUAACAAUAAAAAAAAUAUUUAUACCGCAAAUAAUAAUAAUAUUUAAACCGCAAAUAAUAUUGUUUUUAGUAUUAAUACUUUCAAUGAUAAUAAAAAUAAUAAUCUUUGUACUACAAAUAAUAAUAUUUUUGAUAUUAAUGCUUUGAACUACGGUAAAAAUAAAUAUUAAUAUUUUCAAUUAUAAUUAAAAUAAAAAUAUUUGUACUGCAAAUAAUAAUAUUUAUACCACAAAUAAUAAUAUUUUUCAUAUUAAAGAUUUAAACUAUAAUAGAAAUAUUAAUAUUUAUAACACAAAUAAUACUAUUUUUAAUAUUAAUAUCUUCAAUUAUGAUAAAAAUAAUAAUAUUUAAGGCGAGGCUAUUGCCCUCGCACUGGGUCAGGCCCGAGAACCACGUGGUGUUGGUGUUGGUGAUGGCUUGCCCUUGUCCUGGGUGGGAGCCAGGCCCGCGCCCCCAUGUGGGACACAUGGCGCGUGGACUAGCUGCCCUUGUGCUAGGUCAGGCUAGCGCGCCACGUGGCGCUGCGGCCGGCUUGCCCUUCUCACAGGGCUAAUGGGUCCUACAUUUGGACCUAAUUUUCUUAAUUCUUUGUCAAGACCUGAGGCUAUUGGGUUUUAGGUUUCUAAAUAUAAUUAUUUUCCUUAUAAAUAUUAUUAUUUUUAUUAUAGUUGAAAGUAUUAAUAUCAAACAUAUUAUAAUUUGUGUUCUAAAUAUUAUUUGUUCAAUUCUAAUAAAAAUGAUAAUAUUUAUACCCAAAAUAAUAAUAUUGUUGAUAUUAAUACUAUGAAGUAUAAUAUAAAUCAUAAUAUUCAGAACACAAAUAAUACUAUUUUUAAUAUUAAUACUUUCAAUUAUAACAAUAAAAAAAGAUUUAUACAGCAAAUAAUAAUAAUAUUUAAACCGCAAAUAAUAUUGUUUUUAGUAUUAAUACUUUCAAUGAUAAUAAAAAUAAUAAUAUUUAUAGCACAAAUAAUAAUAUUUUUUAUAUUAAUACUUUGAACUACAAUAAAAAUAAAUAUCAAUACUUUUGAUUAUAAUAAAAAUAAAAAUAUCUAUACUGCACAUAAUAAUAUUUUUACUACAAAAUAAUAAUAUUUUUUAUAUUCAUGCUUUAAAAUAUAGUAGAAAUAUUAAAAUUUAUAACACAAAUAAUAGUAUUUUAAUAUUAACAAAUAAUAAUAUUUAUGGUGCUUGGGUUUACCCUUGCACUGGGUCAGACCCUGAACUGAGAGACUUCAACCACCAAUCAAAUUAGAAUAGUAGAAAUAUUCAUGCUUUGAAAUAUAGUAGAAAUGUUAGAAUUUCUGUGCCGUUGCAUUUCAUGCCAGCUAUGUUGUUGACACUGGACUGAGAGACUUCAACCACCAAUCAAAUUAUUCUUAUUGACUUUUUGUGCGGUUUUGCCGUCAAAGUUCAGAAACCUUGGCUAUUAGAAUAGUCAAAGUGUUUAUUUUUGUAUUUUAAACGUGUCGAGACCUGGCGUGUGAGCUGUUCUACUUGUGCGCCCGUGUCAGCACCCAAUGACAAUGGAUCGGGUGUAAGGAUUGAAUGGCAAUGGGUCUGCUUGUAGAUCCAAUUCGCUUUAAUCCUUGCCGGAUCUAAAUAAUUUAUGUUUUAAAUAUUUUUUAUUUUUUAUUUUUAAUAUAAUAAUAUAUGUUAUAAAUAUUAUUAUUUUUUUAUAAUUUAAAAUAUUAAUAUAAAAAUGUUAUUAUUUAUGUUAUAAAUAAUAUUAUUUUUAUUAUAACUCAAAUUAUUAAUAUAAAAAAUAUUAUUAUUUCUGUUAUAAUCAUCCUCAGAAUUUUUAAUAUAAUUAGAUAUGUUAUACAUAUUAUUAUUUUGAUUAUAAUUAAUAAAAAAUUAAUAAAUUAAAAAAAUAUUAAAAAAUAUUAUUUUUUGUAUUAUAAAUUUUUACAAUAUUUUUUAUAAAAAUAAAAAAUAAACCCACCACCACGUAGCAGGCAUCCACCUAGUUGGGUGCAACUGUGCAAUUGCCUUGUAAAAUUGCCUUAUUCAGUAGUAUUUGUAAUUUGGUGUAGAGCUGGUAUCAUUCUUUGAAAUCAUAGUUAUUACGUCAUUGAGUUAACUCGUGUGUUAAUUAUAGGAUCAAUCAUUUUACUUCAUUUUUUUCUUUAAAAAGAACAAAAUUUUCACAAACAGAUAAUCCUAUUGCAUCUUAAACUUCAAGUUUCCAGCAACUAAACAAUAUCUACAUUCAAUUAGAACUUGUGGUACAAUUACCUGACAGCGAAAUAAAAAAGGAGGAGGAGGAACCCCCCUGGAUCUAUUACCGGACAUAAUAAUAAUCAUCAUUCUAUUUCAAUAUCUUUUUUUGCUAUAAUUAAUUUUUAAAGUUGAUUUGAUUAGUAUUGUACUUUUCUCAUUCUAACAUUCAAAUCCUACUAUUGUUCCUCUAUCCUGUUCUGCUGCAAAUAAACAUCACAAGAUCCUUGUCUUCGAUCUAGGAAUUGCUGGUUCUACUAUCUUGUUCUGCUGGAGGAUCAUCACGUGCUUCAGAUUUUGAAUUUAGUAAUAGAAAAUCCAUUGCUAAAAAGGAUUAAAAAAAUAUUAAAUUAUUUAAGUGAUCUGCAACGGAUUUUUCAUUGUUGACGCGGCAACAUCAAAUCUGCAACUGAUUCAAAAAAUAAAUUAAACCCUUAAUUAUAUAAAAUCUCCAUCCUCUCCUUUUCUCUUUUUCUGCAUCUUCAAAAAUUCAAAUUUUUUUCUCCAUCUCUUUCUCUAGUCUAUUCACCGCCUUCAAAAAUUCAAAAUCCAAAAACUUUUUCAUAUUAAGUAUGAAUUUUUUAUAUCAAAAUCUAACUCAAUCAGGUUUCAAGUAUUCAUGAACGACUCCAAACAAUUUUGAUAUCAAGAACAAACCAACAUCAAAUCAGAACAAAUUGUUCAUAACCGAGAAAAGUAAAGCCCAGAACAAAGAAGAAAAUAUAAAAAACCGUUGGUUCCCUGAUGUGCUCCAGUUUCCGGCUUCCAUCAACGGUUUUCUUGUGUUUCACAAAAGAGGUUACUAUCUUGGGUAACGUCCAAAUUCCAUCUAUGGAAUGAUGCAGCCAAAACUUGGCAAAUUCUCGUAAUCGUUGUUCUCUGUAAUCUGUAAAGAAGCUAUCAAUAGCUAUGGCCAUAAACGGUGUAGGAGUUCUAAAUCCUAGCACCCACCCAGCAUUGUUUUGAAGAAGUAUAUCUUCUUUGCCUGUUCUUUACCCUUUUUUAUGUAUGUAAUACGUAUAUACAAGCAUUCAGAUUGCUUUGAUUUUUUUGUUAGGAAAGUAUUAUGUAAACUAGAUUCAUAAUUUCUAAUUUGUAAGAGAAUAUAUGAUCUUAUUUAAAUACAUUAAAAAAUUAAUUUCUUCAUUUCUCUUAAUUUUUAAGAAAAUCUUUCUUCUCUUAUAAUUAUAGUUAUUGUUUUUUUAAAUCUAAAAUCAAUGUCAUGGUUAAAUAGAAUGGUAUGUUGUCCUUAUUUUUAUUAAAUUAAAUUAAAAAAAAAAACUAAAUUUCUUAAAGAAAUUGCUGUUUACCAUGACCAUGAUAAAGUUGUUCUUUAACCAUUAAACCUUUUAAACCUCUAUGAUUUUUUAAUUUACAAAUUGUUUUCAAAUUAAGGAAAUUCUUAAGAAAAUCUAUCAUAUUAUAUAUUUUUUUAAUUUCACCCCUAUAAUUUUUUUAAUCUUUUAAAUUUAAUUUUUAUUAUUUUUAAUUACUAUUUGUUUUUACAGUUUCAUCUUUCUUGGAUUUUUUUUGCCUAUGAAAUUAUAUCCUUAUUUUUUUAUUGUUAUAUUUUUUGUUUUUGCAAGUCAUCCGAGUUUACUUGAUUUUUUUUCUUUUUUAAGCUGAUGUUUUUUUUUUUUUAGUUUUGUUUUGUUAUUUUUACUUUAUAGAGUUAGCUCUAAGUUACCAGAUUUAAAAUUAUUUUUUUAUAGUUUCACCUUUAAUAUUGAAUUAUUUGAUAAUACAGGGGGUACAGUUCUAGGGUUUUUUUAAUUUUUUUAAUUCUCAUUGUUUUAGUUAAUUUAUUGUAGUUGUAUUUUUUAUAUAUAUUUUGAACCAAUUAGUUGUAUCUCAAAUUUUUUAUUAUGUAAUAUUAUUUUUUUAAGUUAAAAAAAUACUUCCUCUCGCAGUGGAGCACGGACAAAUGUUCCAGGGUACAUUUUAUAAGAUAUGAUCCCAGGAUACGAUGUAGAUCUUGUUAAGUAGGUUGUGGAACUUGCAGGUUCAAAUGGUUUGAAGAUUCUGAAGACAUUAUUUAUCCAGAUUUCAAAGAAGAUAACAUAAUGGUUUUGGUGAAUUGUGCUCGAACUCUUUGCAUUUCAGGAUCCUCUACUGGUCGAUACAGGCCUUGACACGUCCUGGAUGACUGGAUGCUGCCGGAUGUGACCUGAACCAUAGCUUGAUGCCACCGACCUUUCUGUGGCUCCUGGCUCCAUGUUCCUUAUUCAAACCAUUCAUAAAGGUAUCUUAAAUAGUGCAGCCUGAGCUUUACCGGUUACGCUUUUUUUUAGGAAGAUUAUUGUUAAAUUAUUAUUUUUUUAAAUAUAUUAAAAUAAUUUUAUAUUUUUUAUAAUUUUUAAUAUUAACACAUUAAAAUUAUCAAAAAUAUUAAAAAAUCAAUAAUUUAAUAUAUUUUCAAAUAAAAUAUAUUUUAAAAAAACAUACAUUACCACUAUUCUCUCAAACAAAUAAUCCUAUUGCAUCUUAAAUUCCAACAAUGAGUACCCCGAUCAAACAAUAUUUACAUUCAAUUAAAACUUAUGGUAUAAAAUUACCUGACAGCGAAAUAAAGAAAAAGGAGGAACCCUGUAUCUAGGAAAUUUCUAUUAGGCCUACAAUCCGAGGCUGUAACUGGAUCUACACUGAAGAAAUUUCGUGGGAAAUGGGUUGGGAGAAAUUUCUGUGCUGAUGCCAGCUAUGUUGUUGACACUGGACAGAGAGACUUCUUCAACCACCAAUCAAAUUUGCUUGUAAUGUGAGGGAGUGUGGGAUACAAUUGGUUGCAGGCAAACACAAGUAAAUUUGUACAGAUCUUGUUUUCUUUCUAUUUGUCCUUGAAUAAACUUAUUGCACUUGUUAUCCCACUUUUUCGACGAUGGGAUCUCUUGGCAAAUAAAGCGAGGACAAACCGAGUAAAAUGUGGGACCUAACUCCAUUUUCCUGGAACACGCAACUCACGCAUACACUAACUCCCGCCCUUUUCCUCGCUGGAUCCUUGAUAUCUUCAAGGGGUGCAAGCGCCUUGUUCGAGGAUUGAGCAUAAAAGACUAAAAGAGUUAAAGAAAUACUAAAAGACAUAAAGUGAAGUUUUUUAUAAUAUUCAUAGCAAUGUUCAUCAGCUAAUUUAUAAUUUAUAAUUUAUAAUUUAUUUAUCUGCUAAUUAUCAAUGAAUGAAAAGUGAUAAAAGAAAAGGAGAAAAGGAGAGAAGAAAUAAAGUGAAGUUUUCUUCCGCAUUAUUAGCACAUCACGUGAAAAGAAAGAUUGGCAUCUACUAAAAGCAAUCCCAAUCAAACCCAUUUUUUCGACGAUGGGAUCUCUUGGCAAAUAAAGCAAAGGACAAACCGAGUCAAAUGGAGUCCACAGCAUAACAAGGGUCGAGAGAGAAAAGGCUUUUGCGAGUUCUGUGUUCUGUAUACUUCUCAAGGGGAAAAAAUAAUGUUUUGUUAGGGAUUUGUUUUUGAUAGAAUUGUUAGAGAUCUUAGCCGAUGCAUCUGGAUUAUAAUUUUUAGCAUUUAUACUAUUUUAUAGCGCUAAUAUCUUAAAAAACUUAUUUUCUAGCUUUUUUUAUGGUAUGAUGAAAUAUUAAAAAAUAUUUUUCAACUCAUUAUCCUUAAUACAAUUAAAUUUCAUAGAAUAGUCUAUUUUUUAGAAAUAUAGUUUACUAUAAGAUUUAUUUGAUAAAAGAAAUUCACUUUGUAACAAUGCACUAGAAACUAAAAAAAAAGAAGCUAAUGAUCAUUUAAAAAUAUAGUAUAUUGGAAUCAUCUUGCUCAAUAGGUGAGUUCGGGAGUUUGGUUGCUUAACAGGUGAGUGAAGGUUAAAUGUACCCAAUUAAAUAAUAUCUAUAUUCAAUUAAAACUUAUGGUAUAAUUACUUGACAGCGAAAUAAAGAAAAGUAGGAACCCUGUAAUAUCUAGGACAUUUCUAUGCUCUUUAAAUUAGGCGUCCAAACUGAGGCUAUAAUGAGCCCUGAAUCUACACGGAAGAAAUUUCAUGGGAAAUGUAAUUUCAGAAGACCAUGACUCAAAUCAGCGGCUGAAAUCCAAUCACUCAAGGGAUGGUGACACGUUGCCUUAUGUGGGAGACAGCUGGUCUCCAGUACGAAGAGAGACAACAAUAUUUUUUUUAUUAAAAGCGAGUGUACGAACUUCCACGUAUUUUAAUUUAUUUUAUUAAUUUUAAAUUUAAUAAUUAUAUAAAUUUUUAGUAAUUCUAAAAAAAUUUAAAUUCAUAACUAUUAAAAUACAAAUAUAAAACUUAAUCAAUUAGGUGACUCCACAAUAGUAUUUUCAUUAAAUAGAGUGUUUAUUUUUCUCAGUGUCUUUGUUCUCGUGACAGCUCAUGAUGAUGGGGGCUUAAAAAAAAUUAAAGAGAUUAUUUUCACUUGUGAUUUAUUUGAUUUAAAUAAGUAUUUAAUUAAAAUUAUAAUUAAAAAUGUUGUUUAAUAAAAAAAUAUUUUAAAAAUAUUUAAUUAAAAUUAUAAUUAAAGAUAUAUUGUAACUAAAAUUACUAUAAAAAAAAAGAUCCUAGUGAAGGUGGAGAGGAUGAGAAUAAUGAUUGGAUAUCUUAAUAAUUGUAAAAAGAAAGUAUCUUUUUAUGGUGAAGUUAUCGGUAAAUGAGAAAAUACUGAGUUUUGUAGCUCAGAAAAAAAACGUCAUUCAACUAAUAAAAUGAUCCAUCUACAUAAAAAAAAAAAAACAUCAUUCCCAGGUGUGGAAGAUAAAAUUAAUCAACAUAAUCUUAUUGGAUUGCAUUUUAUUAUUCAUAUCAAACAAUCAGUAUCCUUAAUAGUGAUUUUUGGAUAUUUUUAUUUUUGCAACUCAACUAUACUUUUUAAUAUAAUAAUUUUUUUACCUAAUUUUUUAUUAUUAUUAUUUCAGUAUCAUUUUGUUAUUUCUAACCGUUUGCAUUUAUGAGGUUAGUCCUGAAUUCAUGAAUUAUCGAUUUUUAAAAUUAAUGUAAGUUGAUUUUUAUUAUUUUUUAUUUUUUUAUUUUUUUAAAUUAAUUUAUUUAAAUUUUAUCAUUUAAUUUUUUUUUUCAAGAUUUCUUUUUAAGAGACUAACCCUUCAUUGACAAGCACUAAUGUACUCUGAAAAACAUAAUCUCAUUGCAUCUGACGCUUUAAAUUCCAACAAGGAGUACCUUCACAACGAAAUAAAGAAAAGUAGGAACCCUGCAUCUGGGAAAUUUUUAUGAGGCUCCAAUCUGAGGCUCUAACGAGCCCUGAAUCUACACACAAGAAAUUUCGUGAGAAAUGGGUUGAUGUCAGAGGGAGAUCAGGAAGCGUACUUUCAGAAGACCAUGACACAAAUCAACGGCUGAAAUCCAAUCACUCAAGGGAUGGUGACAUGUUGCCAUGAGUGGGAAACAGCUGGUCUCCAUCUGAAUGUUUAAAGAUGAUUGGGUAUCUUAGUAAUUGUAAAAACAAUUGAUUUUUUUUUUUGAUGAAGUUGUCGGUGUGGAUGAGAAAAUACUGAGUUUGUAGCUUAGUAAAAACAUGUUGAUGUUACUUUUUAUUAGCUCAUGGUUGGCCCGUAAAUUGUAAUGGGUCCCACAAUCACAAACCUAUGAUUCACAUGUAAUUUAUGUUUUAUAUAUUUUUUUAAAAUUAUUAUUUUUAUAUUUUUAUACCAUUUUCAUUUUAAAAAUUUUAAAUUUAAAAAAUAUUAUUUUAAUAUAUUUUUAAAUAAAAAAUACUUUAAAAAACAAUAAUAUCAAUCAAUGUUUUAUAAAUUCUUUACAAUCGCUUUUACAUUUUUUUAGAUCACAUCUAAGAAUGAGGGACACCACAAUAAAGUCCGUUGUUGCUACAUGAUUAAAGGUAAUUGUCUUGCAUUUACCUUUAAAACUGCUAUCAAGAAUUAAUUAAUUGCGUCAAUUCAAUUCUUUCUAUUGACAUUGAUACCAAACAUGUUAAUUCAUGAUAUAAUUAAGCAAUUCAAUACAAAUUUACUAAUAUAAUUUAUUUCGGCUUAAACCUUUGAAUAUAGCCAAACUCAGAGGUUAUGCAAGUGAAAUACCUUAAUAAUUAAAUUAAAAAAAGAAAACAAAAUAUAAUGUAUAAAAUAUAAUAAUACAAUGUAUAAUUUAUAAUUUAUUUAUUUGCUUUAUCAAUGAAAAGUGAUGGUAGGAGGGAGAGAGAGAGAGGAAAUAAAGUGAAGUCUUCUGCUGCCUGAUCACAUCACGUGAAGAGCUUGGCAUUUAGUGAAGUUUUUCCGAUCAAACCCACUUUUUUCAAAGAUGGAAUUUCUUGGAAAAUAAAUCAAACACAAACCGAGUAAAAUGGAGUCCAGAGCAUAACAAGAGCCGAGAUUGAAACAGGAAAUGCAGGAAAAAGAAGAUGGGCCCUUGUUUUCUCUUUUUAUGGCCGGCGACCGGAUAUAUAAAAGGGAGGAGAUGAAGCUUUCAAAUUAUUUACAAUUUUGCGGUCACUUAUUGUGUCCAUGUCAUUUUGUGUAAUCGCCCAGCUACCGGUACUAUUUUAACACUGUUAAAAGUCUAAAUAAUCAACAUUUCCCCAAUUUAUCUCUAAAAAAAAUUCACUUCAAUUAAUAGCAACUUUUUUUUAUUUCUUAUGUCAAUGUUUACCUCUUUUUGAUAAACUCGUAUGUUUUUGUACCAGAGGUCUCAAAUUAUUCUGUCCAGUUAUUGCUUAUUUAAAUUCAUUAAAAUGUUUUAAAUAACUUUUUUAAAUUUUAAUCCCAGAGUUUACAUACAUAAUACAUGAGUUAUAUACAUUAUGAUUCAAAAUAUUGUUAUAACUAAAUUUAAAAAAAAUACAAAUGAUCAAACCAUUGAUGCUGGUGAUGCUCUCGUCUCCAGAAUGGUCCGCUUGUACUUGGCUGAUGGAGCUGAGGGAAAGCCAUUGGCUGCAGAGUGCGCACUGUGAUUUUCGCGAAAUGAAUUAGGGCAGGGAGCUUUUUAGAAGCAAAUUUUGUUCUCCGUCAUUUUGUAAAUUCUCGCAGCUGCUUGUUAGACGCCAUAAAUAGUCUAAGCUUGUUGUUGAGAUUUUUUAUUUUCUGUAUAUGAAUUUAGAGUUAAUUUCUUGAAUAUUAAGUUUUCUGAUUUUUCUAUAUAAUUAAUUUUUUAAGUUGAUUUGAUUAGUAUUAUUGUACUCUUCUCAUUCUCAAUAAAAAAAAAAAGAAAAAAAAACCAGAAGAGUAUUUUCUUUCUAUUGAAAACAUUUGUGGUUAGAACAAAGUAAUUUUCACUGGAGUGUCGUUUUGGGAUGCAACAUGAACUUUACCUGUCUAAUUUGUACGGCAUGAGAAGAUGUUGCUUUCCAUGGCUUCCCCCUUAAAAAAAUUCCAUCACAUUUGAGAAUUUUGAUAUAAAAAAGAUAUAUCUCUUUUAAAGAAGAGAAGUGAUACCUAAAAUUUAUAAAUGAUCUAAACUCUUAAUUUUUAAUCGAUGUAAAAUGUUAGAGUAUCAUGUUCCUGAAAAAAUCUUUUUAAGUGUAUAAUAUGUUGCAUUGAUAGGUUUGAAUGUUUUUAUUACUGAAAUGCUUUUGAGAAGCGGCGUGCGUGCGGCUCCUUUGCAGGCCAAAAACCGCCCUCUACCUUGUUGUUUGGAGAGGAGCAUUAAGAGCUGGGGGUGGUGGUGGGGGCACAAGUCAGUUUUUUUUUUGUUAUUGUUGUAUUUUUUAAUUUAUAUUAUUAAAAUUAUAUAAAUUUAUUAAACUCAUUCGAAUAAAUAAAAUAUGUGUCUGAAUUGUUUUUUCUUUGAAAAUGCUUAUGUCUCCUUAACUUACUUUAUUUUACAAUAGAAAAAUGUAGGCCGGCUCGCGGGACCUUAUCUAGUAAUACAUAAGACCAGUAUCAUUUUUAGGCUUAAAUUUUGAUUAAAGAGAACAUUAACAUGUUUAGUAGUAGUGCAUACUGUUUAUUUUUGCGUUUCAAAAAUAUUCUUGAAAAAAAUUAAAAUAUAUUUUUUAUUUUUUUGCUUUAAAUUAAUAUUUUUUGUGUUUUCAAAUCAUUUUGAUGUGAUGAUGUCAAAAAUAAUUUUUAAAAAAUAAAAAAAAUAUUAUUUUAAUAUAUUUCCGAGUAAAAAAUACUUUAAAAAUUAACCACAAUCAUUAAAAAAAAAAAAAAAAAAAGAAGAAGCAAGAGCAGCAAGUUGGAAGCGCUUAUCUUGCUCCCAAAUCUUCUACAUAACCUUUCAAUAUAAUGCUAUUCCACCAAGGGAGUUUUUCAGAAUCUCCAAUCUUUUCAGGAUAAAAACAUCGAUUACAUCUAUACAAUCAUUUAUGGGCAUCUUCCCCAUCAAAGCUGGGAAAGUCACAUAUGGGUUUGUGCAUCCUAAACUGAGAGUGUCACAGGCUUAGACGCAAAGGCACGUNNNNNNNNNNNNNNNNNNNNNNNNNNNNNNNNNNNNNNNNNNNNNNNNNNNNNNNNNNNNNNNNNNNNNNNNNNNNNNNNNNNNNNNNNNNNNNNNNNNNGCAGACCAAGAAAGUUACUUGUGGGCAGUUACGAAGCAGUUACGAGGAAGUUGGUUUUCUUUAAAAUGUGCUGUCUAGAGUUAAUGAAUCUGUCAAAGUGCAUUUUUAUUUGUAACUUCCAUUGUAUGUAGGUGUAUUACAUAGGGCCUAAACAUGUGUAACAUGUAGAUCGGAUUGUGCAUAACACACAUACAUUGUUAUUGUGUAUUCCCUUUGUUGAUGGAUAAAUAUAGGUUGAGUUGUUUCCUGUAAAUUGCUUGUGUUGUGUUGAUCAUUAGCUUGUGUUCUUUGUCGCCAAAAUUGGUAAGAGGUGUGGGGAAAACCUCUAGGUGUGUGAAACACUUAGACUCUAGGCAAACACGAGUGGCUUAGAAAGAUGGUUGAGUCUAGUAACGGGACUAGACGCCCGCGCUGGGAUUAAAAUUGUGAUGAAAAUUUUAUCGUGACAGAGAGUGCUCACCUUCACUAGGUAUUAGCCUCCCCUGUGGAAAGUUGUAGUGUUUGAAGAAGGGAUGUUUGUUGAUAAGCUAUUCCCCUAAUGAGACCCUGAGUUCAUUAAACUGUAAUAUGUUGCAUUUAAUAGUUUGGGGCAAAAUUAUAUUAACCCUGAUUAUUUUUUAAGUGUAUAAUAUGUUGCAUUUGGGGCAAAAUUAAUAGUUUUAAAUGCGUUUAUUACUUAAAUGCUAUUGAGAAGCACUUACAGGGUCCUUUGCUGGCCAGAAACUGCCUUCCAUUGUGGUGUUCACGGCAGAGCAUUAGGGGCUGUCUGAUGGUGGGGCACAAGUCCAUUGACGAUUUUCUUCUUCACCUUUUUUUUUUUUUUUCUUCAUCUUCUUUUCUUUCUCCUCUCCUCAAAUACAAAAGUUUCCUUUUAUUUUUUUAAACAAUUUAAUUUUUUUUUUAUUGUUAUUUUUUUUAUCUUUUAUAAAUUUUUUUCUUUAAUUUUUUCUUUAAUUAUUUGAUUUUAUUUAAUUUUUACAUCAAAAUUUAUCCUUAUUCUUUUAAUUACUAUUUUUUUCUAAUUGAAUUUUUUUUUUAAAUUACAUCCAUCAACAUUUGAUUUCCAUUUAUUUUAAUGUCAAAUUCAAUUAAUUUUUUUUAUUACUAUUUGUUUUAUUUUAUAUCAUUUUUUAGUUGCCAUUUUUUUUAAAUUUUAUCUCUCAUUAUUUUGUGAAGAAGAAUUUAACUUCAUUAUUUUUUAGGGUUUAUCUUCUAUGAAAUUUGUCUUAACUCUUGAGCUCAUGACUAAGAUCACGAGUUUCAAAUAUUAACACAGAAUUACUCUCUAUUGUUACUCUCUAUUGUUCCGACCGGAUCGGGUCCGAUCCAAAGCUAAAUGCAUUGAACUGGGUCUGAUCCAGUUAAAAAAAAUUAAUUUUUAUUUUUAUUUUUAAUUGUGUUUUAUUCAAAAAAUUAGAAGGAGAUCGCUUGAUGACGUAACAUUUGCAGAAUUUGAUCGCAAUCUCAAUUUUGUUCCUGAUGUUGUUGCGCGCUUAAGAAAUCAAGAAAACUGUAGUCCUUGUCGGAUGUAUUUCGUACGUGAUGGAAUUGUAGAUAUUUUAAGGAAACAAUAAAAAAUAUUUUAUAUAAGUAUUACUUAUUUCAUGAUAUAAUAUCAAUAGUUAAACUUACAAUAUUUAAAUUAAAAACCAUCAAUAUAUAUAUAUAUAUAAUUAUUUUAUAACCCUAAUUUAAAAAAUAUUAUUUUAACUAAACAAAUUAAAUUAAUUUUUAUUAACAAAAUAAUUUUUUUUCAAACUAAAAGUUACCGCAAUAACAUAAUCACUCUAAACUAUCACUUUCACCACUCAGAAUAUUUGUCAUCUAAAACACUGAGCUGGAGCUAUUGGAGGAAGGAGAGAAAAGAAAUAAAGUCUCCAGCUGAAUGAUCACAUCAUCACGUGAAAAGCUUGGCAUUUUAAAAAAUGGAAUCUCGAGGUAAAUAAAUCAAAGACAAACCGAGUAAAAUGGAGUCCAGAGCUUAACAUGUUACCAGUUACAGAGCCGAGAGAGAAACUUUUUGCGAGUUCUUUACACUAAACUUUUUUGCAAUAUUGUUUUAACGGGUUAGUAUUAAAAAUAAUAUUUUUUUUUUAAAAAUAUUAUUUUAAUAUAUUUAUAAAAAAAUAUUUUAAAAAUCAACCACUAAUACACUAUUAAACACCCCUAAAUAUUUUAUAAAUUCUUCAUAGUAGCUUUUACAUUUCUUUAGAUCUCAUUUGACAAUGCUUUACACCACAAUAAAAAAAAAAUCAUGUUUUAUGUUUUUAUUGGCAAAAUGUAACUGCAACCGCAUUAAAGUUCGCUGUUGCUGCAUUAUUAAAGGUAAAUGUCUUGCAUGGAUUGACUACCAGUCAUAUUUUUUUUCCUUUGUUUUUUUGUAAGUUACUAAAUUUAUAAUGGUAUCAUUUUAAGAGAUUUUUUUUAAAAUACAACUAUAUUAAAAAAAUUUAUAAUUAUUUUUUAUUUCAGCAUAUCAAAAUAAUAUAAAAACAUCCAAAAAUUAUUAUUUUAAAGCAAAAAUAAAAUUAAAAAAUUUCAAAGUUUUUCAAAAGAGUUUCUGAAACGCAAAAAUCCAUAAAACUCAAUUAACAAAAGAAGGUAAAAACUGAUGCACAAAAACUACAUUUCACACUCAAUUUUUUAAUGGCCCCGUAAUAUAAAACACAUUUGGUUUGUUACCAAACAUUCUGUUACGUUUGUUUCACCGUAAACGUAAAAGCCAGCGAGAAACAGACGCAACUUUAAGUCUUAUUUGUUUGCUGAAAGUAGUUUCCUUUUGAAAAAUGGUUUUCUUGGAAAGUGGAUUUCUAAAAAGUGAAUUAUUUUUUGUUUGGUAGUGUAAUGAAAAAUAAAUUGAAAAACAUCUAGUGUUUGGUUAUGUCAUGGAAAAUGAGGUAGAAAAGAUCUUAUUAAUAUUUUUUUUCAAGUUUAUUAAAAUAAUAAAGAAUAAAUCUUACAAAUUAAAAAGGUGAAUGAGAAUGAAAUUGAAAAAAAAUUCUAAUUUCAUAAAUUAUCUCAAAUAAAAUAAAUAACAAUUAAAAUAAUGGAGAUCAAAUUUAAAAGAUAAAAAAUUGAAAGAUGAUGAAAUUAAAAUAAUAGUACUUACAAUUUCAUAAAUUAUUACAAAUAAAAUAAGUAACAACCAAAAAAAUGAGGAUCAAAUUUGAUAGAUAAAAAAUUUCAAUUAAAAAAAUAAUAGGAGAAAAGCAAAUAACAAUCAUAAAAAUAAACACCAAAGUUAAUAUAAAAAUCAAAUUUAAUCAAAUUCUAAGGAGUGAAAUUGAAGAAAAAAAAUUCAAAACAAAAUAUAUAGCAAUCAAAAGUUUAAGGACCAAAUUUGUUAUAAUUAGCAAAUAAUAUGAUGUUUUUAAUUUUUUCACAACUUUUGAAAAGUGUUUUAUGCCCGAAAAAAAGGAAAAAACUUUCCUGGAAACUAAACCAAAUUUUUCUUUGACCAGAAAAUAUUUGUGGUUGAUUAAUUUUUCUAAUAACAUAUAAAUACAAAAAAGUUCAAAAAAUAAUUUUAAAAAAACCACUUUCCACCAAAUAAACAAACAAAGCAUUAAUAAUACUACUUUUUGUAUAGUCUUAAUAGUAGGAACCUCUUAUUUGAACUCUAGGCGUUUAUUUUUUGAAAAGUGAUUUCCGGAAAAUCACUUUUUCAAAUUUUUUUGUGGUUGGUUGCCAUUAGAAAAGUUGAUCAACAGAAAAAACUUUACAGUCAAAAGAAAAUUUGGCUUGAUUUUCAUAAAAGUGUUUUCCUUUUAUUUUGAGCGGAAAACACUUUCCGGAAGUUGUGAAAAAUUUAGAAAUGUCAUAUUAUUUGCUGAUUAUAUCAAAUCUGGUACUCAAACUUGUGAUUGCUAUAUAUAUCUUGUUUUGAAUAUUUAUUUUUCAGUUUCAUCCCUUCCAAUUUAAUUUUUAUUUUAACUUUGAUCCUUAUUUUUAUAAUUGUUAUUUGCUUUUCCUUUAUCAUUUUUUAAUUGAAAAUUUUUAUCUAUCAAAUUUGAUCUUCAUUCUUUUGAUUGUUACUUAUUUUAUUUGAAAUAAUUUAUGAAAUGGUAAUUAUUAUCAUUUUAAUUUCUUCAUUUUUUUUUAAAGAUUUGAUCUCUAUUAUUUAUUUUAUUUGAGAUAAUUUAUGAAAUUAUAUUUUUUUUCAAUUUCAUUCUCAUUUAACUUUUUAAUUUGUAAGAUUAGUUUCUCGUUAUAUUAAUAAAUUUUUAAAAAUAAAACAUUAAUAAGUUCAUUAUCAUUUUCUUUGACAUAACUAAACACUGAAAAAUAUUUUCCAACUUUUUUUUUAUUAUAUUACCAACAUCAAAAAAUAAUUCACUUUAUCAAAAUUUAUUUUUUACUUUUCAUCAAAUAAACUACAUCUCCCACUUUUAUGCAUCACCUGCUGUCUGUUUUUUAUUCUAAGUUUGCAUGUAAAGUGUUUUUAAAAUUUAUAAAAGAAGUUACUGUUUACAUUGCUGUAGCCCUCGAGUAUACAAAGAGAUAUUCCUGGGAAGUAGCUUUAUGCCACUUCCCUUGAAUAUCCAAGAAGAUGCAUAAUUUUUUUAAAAAAAACAUUAAAAAAAAACAUAAUAAUUUACGAUGGAAGUCCUCAUAAUCAAUGCAUAAAAUGUUUUUUUUUUUGUUAAAAAUAAUUUUUAAUAUCAUAUAUUAAAAUAAUUUUAAAAUAUAAAAAAAUUCAAUUUUUUAUUGAAAAACUAAAAGUGCUUCAUAAGAAAGAGCGAAGGCGAUAUUCAUUAUAACUUUACUUCCCCACCUCUCUCGCCUACGUGCAGCAACCACUACUAGAUGUUCAUGGCGUCUUCUUCUUCUUCGUCUAGACCUGGUUGGGAUUACGAUGUAUUUCUAAGUUUUAGAGGUGAAGAUACUCGCAAAAAUUUUACGGAUCAUCUUUUCACUGCUUUACAGAAAGCAAAAGUCCGUACAUUUCGAGAUGACGACGAACUUCGUAUAGGUGAAGAAAUCUCCUUACAACUCCCCAAAGCAAUACAAGAAUCCAAGAUUUCUAUAGUGGUUUUCUCCAAGGGCUAUGCUUCCUCCACUUGGUGUCUUGAUGAACUUGAAAAGAUUCUUGAUUGCAAACACACAACUGGUCAGAUUGUUAUACCUGUUUUCUAUGAUAUUGAUCCUUCUGAUAUUAGAAAACAGACGGGGAGUUUUGCUGAAGCCUUUGAUAAGCAUGAAGAACGUUUUAAGGAAGAAAUGGAGAAGGUCCAUAAGUGGAGAAAAGCUCUCGUGGAGGCUGCAGAUUUAUCUGGGCUGGAUCCUCACAGUAUCGCAAAUGGGUACUUCUUUUCUUUCCCUGUAUCAAUAGCAAAUGCUUAUAACUUUUACUCUUAUUAUGUUUUGUAUUUUAAAUUUGCAUUAAAUUCAAAAGAUUUAUCUUUCAUCGAUGAGUGAUGACUUUUUUUUUCUAUGCGCAGGCAUGAAUCAAAAUUAAUUCAAAAGAUUGUCGAAGUAGUUUCAAGUAAAUUGAAUCCCAGAUUUUUGUCUGACGAUAGGCCGCUGAAGAGGUUGAAGACAACAAUGAUAUCUGGUGGUGGGCUGCUUGACGAUGCUGAGGAGAAGCAGAUAACAAAUACAUUUGUGCGGGAUUGGCUGGCCGAGUAUAAAGACGCUGUCUAUGAGGCCGAAGACUUCUUGGAUGAGAUUGCUUAUGAAGCUGAAGCUCAAACCUUCAUUAACCCACCUGGAAUAAUGGGGUUGAGAGAGAUAGAAGAAAAAUCAAGAGGCCUCCAGGAGAGUCUAGAUUACUUAGUAAAACAAAAGGAUGCCCUUGGUUUGAUCAACCGCACUGGAAAAGAACCAUCAUCAACUAAAAGACCAACAACUUCUCUGGUGGAUGAACGUCGUGUUUAUGGUAGAGAUUAUGACAGGGAAGCAAUACUGAAGUUGCUUGUAUCAGAUGAUGCAAAUGGAGAAAACCCAGGUGUUGUUCGCAUAGUGGGCAUGGGCGGGGUUGGUAAAACCACGCUUGCUCAGCUUGUGUACAAUCACAGCGAAGUACAGAGGUGCUUCAAUCUCAAAGCUUGGGUUUGUGUUUCAGAAGAUUUCAGUGUUUCAAAGUUAACCAAGGUUAUCCUUGAGGAGGUCGGCUCAAAGUCUGAUUCUGGGAGUCUGAAUCAGCUCCAGAUUCAGUUGAAGGAGAGGUUUCGGGAAAAUAAAUUUUUGCUUGUUUUAGAUGAUGUAUGGGAAGAAAAUUAUGCUGAAUGGGACACGUUGCUUACACCCUUGAAAUCUGGAGCACAAGGGAGUAAGAUUCUUGUGACAACACGCAAUGAAAGGGUAGCAUCAGUCAUGUCAACUGUUCAAACUCGUCACCUAAAAGAAUUGACGGAAGACAGCUGCUGGUUCUUGUUUGCCAAACAUGCAUUCGGUGAUGAAAAUCCCAUUGCGCAAGAAGAGUUAAAAAAAAUUGGUAGAGCAAUAACGAAAAAGUGUAAAGGCCUGCCUCUAGCUGCAAAAUCACUCGGAGGUCUGCUAUGCAACGAAAGAGAAGUCGAGGAGUGGCGGGAUAUUUUGGAAAGCAAUCUAUGGGAUUUACCCAAAGACAAUAUCCUCCCAGCUUUGAGAUUAAGUUAUCUUUAUCUCGUGCCACAUCUGAAGCAAUGUUUUGCUUAUUGUGCCAUAUUUCCAAAAGACUAUUCAUUUCGAAAGGAUGAAUUAGUGCUCCUGUGGAUGGCAGAGGGCUUCUUGGUCCGCUCUGCAGUAGAUGAUGAGAUGGAAAAAGCAGGUGCUAAGUGCUUUGAUGAUCUCUUGUCAAGGUCGUUUUUCCAGCAAUCAAGUGCCUCUCGCUCAUCAUUUGUGAUGCACGAUCUCAUGCAUGACUUGGCUACACAUGUGUCCGGUCAAUUUUGCUUCAGCUCCAGUUUGAGGGGAAAUAAUUCUUCCAAGGCCACCAGAAGGACUCGACAUUUAUCACUCGCAGUAGAUACGGAAGACACGGAUGGUGAAGAUACCGAAGAUGGAGAUACGGAAGGUGUUUUUUCAAGCACAAUAUUAGAAAACAUCCGUGAAGCCCAACAUCUACGCACAUUCCGAACUUCUCUAGACAAUCAGAUGUGUCCUCCCGAAUUUGAUAAGAUCUUUCAGUCAACACAUUGUCGCCUACGAGUGAUAUCGUUGUCUAAUUGUGCCGGUGUAGCUAAGAUGCUUUGUUCAAUUAGCAAGUUGAAGCAUUUGCGGUAUUUGGAUCUUUCCUGGUCAGAUUUAGUAACGUUGCCUGAAGAAGUGAGUGCUCUUCUCAAUUUGCAAACGUUGAUCUUGAAAAGGUGCCAACAACUUGCUAGUCUACCUGAUCUUGGAAAUUUGAAGUAUUUACGACAUCUGAAUCUUGAAGCAACAAGAAUAGAAAGGUUGCCUGAAUCUCUGGAAAGGUUAAUCAACUUGCGGUAUCUUAACAUCAAAUACACGCCUUUGAAAGAGAUGCCACAAUAUAUAGGUCAACUGGCAAAGCUCCAAACGUUGACUGACUUUCUCGUGGGAAGACAGAGUGAGACUAGCAUUAAAGAAUUGGGAAAGCUACGACAUCUACGGGGAGAACUUCAUAUUGGGAACCUUCAAAAUGUGGUGGAUGCUCGGGAUGCUGUUGAGGCAAAUUUGAAAGGUAGAGAGCACCUUGAUGAGCUGAGGUUUACAUGGGAUGGUGACACUCAUGACCCGCAACACGUGACAAGCACACUUGAGAAAUUAGAGCCAAAUAGAAAUGUG
RNAcentral lists this long non-coding RNA (27191 nucleotides) under Populus trichocarpa (black cottonwood). RNAcentral describes it as "long non-coding RNA (PTRI_LNC001059)". The record is from RNAcentral. Lineage: Eukaryota; Viridiplantae; Streptophyta; Magnoliopsida; Malpighiales; Salicaceae.